CGUGGGUAACCUGCCCAUAAGACUGGGAUAACUCCGGGAAACCGGGGCUAAUACCGGAUAACAUUUUGAACAGCAUGGUUCGAAAUUGAAAGGCGGCUUCGGCUGUCACUUAUGGAUGGACCCGCGUCGCAUUAGCUAGUUGGUGAGGUAACGGCUCACCAAGGCAACGAUGCGUAGCCAACCUGAGAGGGUGAUCGGCCACACUGGGACUGAGACACGGCCCAGACUCCUACGGGAGGCAGCAGUAGGGAAUCUUCCGCAAUGGACGAAAGUCUGACGGAGCAACGCCGCGUGAGUGAUGAAGGCUUUCGGGUCGUAAAACUCUGUUGUUAGGGAAGAACAAGUGCUAGUUGAAUAAGCUGGCACCUUGACGGUACCUAACCAGAAAGCCACGGCUAACUACGUGCCAGCAGCCGCGGUAAUACGUAGGUGGCAAGCGUUAUCCGGAAUUAUUGGGCGUA
RNAcentral lists this ribosomal RNA (461 nucleotides) under Bacillus tropicus. RNAcentral's name for it is "bacterial SSU rRNA". It matches the Rfam family "Bacterial small subunit ribosomal RNA", at positions 116 to 562 of the family's 1533-position model. The record is from RNAcentral. Lineage: Bacteria; Bacillati; Bacillota; Bacilli; Caryophanales; Bacillaceae.